RNAcentral lists this ribosomal RNA (253 nucleotides) under uncultured bacterium. Its description in RNAcentral is "partial 16S ribosomal RNA". It matches the Rfam family "Bacterial small subunit ribosomal RNA", at positions 524 to 776 of the family's 1533-position model. The record is from RNAcentral.
GACAGAGGUGCCAAGCGUUAGGCGGAAUCACUGGGCUUAAAGCGUGUGUAGGCGGAUUCCUAAGUACCUUGUGAAAUCCCACGGCUCAACCGUGGAACUGCUCGGUAUACUGGGUAUCUUGAGCCACUUAGGGGCGACCGGAACAAAUGGUGGAGCGGUGAAAUGCGCAAAUAUCAUUUGGAACGCCAAUGGUGAAAACAGGUCGCUGGGAGUGUGCUGACGCUGAGACACGAAAGCCAGGGGAGCAAACGGG